RNAcentral lists this ribosomal RNA (755 nucleotides) under uncultured bacterium. Its description in RNAcentral is "bacterial SSU rRNA". It matches the Rfam family "Bacterial small subunit ribosomal RNA", at positions 8 to 784 of the family's 1533-position model. The record is from RNAcentral.
AGAGUUUGAUCAUGGCUCAGGAUGAACGCUGGCGGUAUGUUUAAGGCAUGCAAGUCUAUCGUGUAUCUUCGGAUAUGCGAGGCAAACGGGAGAGUAACACAUUGGUAACUCACCCCUGGUUCAAGUAUAACUUCGUGAAAACGGAGACAAUCCUUGAUAGUCCAUUAUUUACGAGAGAUCGUAUUUAAUGGUAAAGGUCCGCCGACCAGGGAGAGGCCUAUGGCUUAUCAGCUUGUUGGUGAGGUAAGAGCUCACCAAGGCUUUGACGAGUAGCGGGCGUAAGAGCGUGGCCCGUCCCACUGGGACUGAGACACUGCCCAGACUCCUACGGGAGGCUGCAGUCAAGAAUCUUUCGCAAUGGCCGAAAGGCUGACGGAGCAAUACCGCGUGAAGGAAGACACCUUUCGGGGCGUAAACUUCUUUUCUCAGGGAAGAAUUCGUGACGUUACCUGAGGAAUAAGCGACUGCUAACUUCGUGCCAGCAGCAGCGGUAAUACGAAGGUCGCAAGCGUUAUCCGGAAUUAUUGGGCGUAAAGCGUCUGUAGGUGGUUUGUUAAGUCUCAAAUUAAAUCUCUAGGCUCAACCUAGAGCUCGUUUGAGAAACUAAUAAACUAGAGGAUGGAAGAGGCAAACGGAAUGGCUGGUGUAGUAGUAAUAUGCAUUGAUAUCAGCUAGAACACCAAAUGCGAAGGCAGUUUGCUAGAACAUUCCUGACACUGAGAGACGAAAGCGUGGGUAGCGAAUGGGAUUAGAUA